UCCUCCGUGGCGCAAUUGGCUAGCGCGUCUGACUGUUAUAAAGCAAAUCAGGAGGUUGACAGUUCAAGCCUGUCCGGGGGAG
This is a non-coding RNA of Whalleya microplaca, 82 nucleotides long. Lineage: Eukaryota; Fungi; Ascomycota; Sordariomycetes; Xylariales; Xylariaceae. The record is from the annotation of a GenBank genome assembly.